Thalassophryne amazonica is the source of this 546-nucleotide long non-coding RNA. RefSeq lists it as uncharacterized. Lineage: Eukaryota; Metazoa; Chordata; Actinopteri; Batrachoidiformes; Batrachoididae. The record is from RefSeq and is a predicted model, not a curated record. The transcript has 3 exons.
AGUCAUAUAAUGAGUGGGCUUAGCGACUGGCUGAUGUCCACUGGUCUGGUGUGUGAAAAGCAUUUCACACAAUUUGCAGUUCUUGUAAAAAGCACACCAGACUUUCAUAGUGCUGUAUGAGUGGUUUUGGGGCUGUGUGACAAUGGCAGUGAUGCCAUUCUCCCCGUUACAAGUAGGUUUACAAUCAGAGUGAUUUUAGAGAUGUUAUUUUAAGCUUAAAAUUAAAUCUACAUCUGGUAUCGUUUUAAUGCUUUGGCUGAAGCAAAUACACCCACUGAAUGUGCUCCAACUUUUUAAUAAAGAUAUUUUAAUGCACUCUCUCCUGGCCACUUUCAAUAUUUAUAAUGUUUUUAGGGCCACAAUUCUAACAUGAACACUCACUUCACAUUAAAAUGGUUUAAUAUUUUGGGAAGGAACACUGUUGAGGAUUACUGAAACUGUUUUCCUUGUGUAAUAUGUCUGAUCCUUGAUCUCUGGACAUGAAUAGAAAUAAAAUCUGUAGUUUUUGUCAAAAGCAUUUCCUUUCAGAAUUAAUGGCAUGAAUGC